GACGAACGCUGGCGGCGUGCUUAGCACAUGCAAGUCGAACGGUGAAGCGCCUUCCUUUUUGGUGGGUGUGGAUGAGUGGCGAACGGGUGAGUAACACGUGAGUAACCUGCCCCCUUCUUCUGGAUAACCGCAUGAAAGUGUGGCUAAUACGGGAUAUUCUGGGUCUGUCGCAUGAUGGGUCUGGGAAAGAUAUUGUUUCGGUGGGGGAUGGGCUCGCGGCCUAUCAGCUUGUUGGUGGGGUGAUGGCCUACCAAGGCGGUGACGGGUAGCCGGCCUGAGAGGGUGGACGGUCACACUGGGACUGAGACACGGCCCAGACUCCUACGGGAGGCAGCAGUGGGGAAUAUUGCACAAUGGGCGCAAGCCUGAUGCAGCGACGCCGCGUGAGGGAUGGAGGCCUGCGGGUUGUGAACCUCUUUCGCCAGUGAAGCAGGCCUGCCUCGUUUGUGGGUGGGUUGACGGUAGCUGGAUAAGAAGCGCCGGCUAACUACGUG
Molecule: ribosomal RNA, 494 nt
Filed under: uncultured bacterium
Lineage: Bacteria
Description: partial 16S ribosomal RNA
Rfam family: Bacterial small subunit ribosomal RNA
Source: RNAcentral